Molecule: long non-coding RNA, 829 nt
Organism: Toxorhynchites rutilus septentrionalis
Lineage: Eukaryota; Metazoa; Arthropoda; Insecta; Diptera; Culicidae
Exons: 2
Source: RefSeq, a predicted model, not a curated record
UACAUGCGGACUGAUGUGUUAAUUUGCAUCUUGUUUAGAAUAGAGAUUGGCUCCAAAUCUGUCUUAUUCUCAACAUAUUCAUCAAAGUUUAUAUGUUGCAAGUAUUUUUAGUUAACGGGUUUUUCGAAAAAAAGUUCAGUAGUAAAAUAAGUGUUUCAAAGAAGUAAACCUUGAGGGUAUACAAAAAAGAAUAACAGAGGCCGUUAUAGUUCGAUGAUGGUUACACCUGGGCUUUCGAAAGUUCUCUGUGUACUGCAGGAAUACCAGGAUAUUCAUUUACCAAUUGACACACCAAAAGUUGCUAACAAAAACAAUAACAAUGAAGAGGGUGUACAAAAAGCAGAAAUAACGAAGAUACUUUCCACCGAUGAAAAGUUCCUCUCCGAUCUAUGGUUACAGUUCGAGCAAUACAUGGCACUGCCGGUGCAACGAAAAUUUUGCAACGGUCAUACAAAGUUUUGGAAUGGACGGAAAGGAAAGGCCAAACAGUAUUUGCUGCGUGGAGGCGUUGAAGAAACAGCUCAUAUGUCCAUGUUUUGUAGAGAUCUGAAUAAGCAAUAGAUUAUUUAUUUUAUUAAAUACUGAAGGUAAUGAACACGAUGACGAGGACCAAGAUCGAUACGUACUGUCGAUUGUAGAAAAUUAUUGGUGAUACAUACAGUGUAUAACUUCAAUUAGCGACGCUUCGUGGUUUCGAUAUUGCUAGAAAUAGCUAUUCGAAAAUCUUAGAAACAGACCGUAUUUUAGGGACAAGAGAUUUCCAAAUUCUUACCCGUUUUUUUAAACGAUGUCAAUACGAUUAAAACUAAAAUAAAAAAAAUAUACCAAA